Molecule: ribosomal RNA, 490 nt
Filed under: uncultured bacterium
Lineage: Bacteria
Description: partial 16S ribosomal RNA
Rfam family: Bacterial small subunit ribosomal RNA
Source: RNAcentral
AUUGAACGCUGGCGGCAGGCCUAACACAUGCAAGUCGAACGGUAGCAGGAAGAAGCUUGCUUCUUUGCUGACGAGUGGCGGACGGGUGAGUAAUAUCUGGGAAACUGCCUGAUGGAGGGGGAUAACUACUGGAAACGGUAGCUAAUACCGCAUAACGUCGCAAGACCAAAGAGGGGGACCUUCGGGCCUCUUGCCAUCGGAUGUGCCCAGAUGGGAUUAGCUAGUAGGUGGGGUAACGGCUCACCUAGGCGACGAUCCCUAGCUGGUCUGAGAGGAUGACCAGCCACACUGGAACUGAGACACGGUCCAGACUCCUACGGGAGGCAGCAGUGGGGAAUAUUGCACAAUGGGCGCAAGCCUGAUGCAGCCAUGCCGCGUGUAUGAAGAAGGCCUUCGGGUUGUAAAGUACUUUCAGCGGGGAGGAAGGGAGUAAAGUUAAUACCUUUGCUCAUUGACGUUACCCGCAGAAGAAGCACCGGCUAACUCCGUG